Non-coding RNA from Marasmius sp. AFHP31, 95 nucleotides. Lineage: Eukaryota; Fungi; Basidiomycota; Agaricomycetes; Agaricales; Marasmiaceae. The record is from the annotation of a GenBank genome assembly.
GGUUCGAUGGCGUAGUUGAUUAUCGCAUCUGUCUAACAUGUCAAUGGGACUGUGGAUGACAUAGAAGGUCCCCAGUUCGAGCCUGGGUCGAAUCA